Molecule: ribosomal RNA, 521 nt
Filed under: uncultured bacterium
Lineage: Bacteria
Description: bacterial SSU rRNA
Rfam family: Bacterial small subunit ribosomal RNA
Source: RNAcentral
AGGACGAACGCUGGCGGCGUGCCUAAUACAUGCAAGUCGAACGGUCUUUCUAUGGAAGCUUGCUUCCACUGAGAAGAUAGUGGCGAACGGGUGAGUAACACGUUGGGGUAACCUGCCCAUAAGAGGGGGAUAACAUCCGGAAACGGGUGCUAAUACCGCAUAGUUUUCUUGAUCGCAUGAUCGGGAAAGGAAAGACGGCCUUUGUGCUGUCGCUUAUGGAUGGACCCGCGGCGUAUUAGUUAGUUGGUGAGGUAACGGCUCACCAAGACGAUGAUACGUAGCCGACCUGAGAGGGUGAUCGGCCACAUUGGGACUGAGACACGGCCCAAACUCCUACGGGAGGCAGCAGUAGGGAAUCUUCCGCAAUGGACGAAAGUCUGACGGAGCAACGCCGCGUGAGUGAAGAAAGGUUUUCGGAUCGUAAAACUCUGUUGUCAGAGAAGAACAAGUUGGAGAGUAACUGCUCCAGCCUUGACGGUAUCUGACCAGAAAGCCACGGCUAACUACGUGCCAGCAGCGGC